CAGUAGCGCGGGAAUACGUAGGGUCCGAGCGUUGUCCGGAAUUACUGGGCGUAAAGAGCUCGUAGGUGGUUUGUCGCGUUGUUCGUGAAAACUCACAGCUCAACUGUGGGCGUGCGGGCGAUACGGGCAGACUAGAGUACUGCAGGGGAGACUGGAAUUCCUGGUGUAGCGGUGGAAUGCGCAGAUAUCAGGAGGAACACCGGUGGCGAAGGCGGGUCUCUGGGCAGUAACUGACGCUGAGGAGCGAAAGCGUGGGGAGCGAACAGGAUUAGAGACCCGCGUAGUCCCUGUCUCUUAUACC
This 301-nucleotide ribosomal RNA is filed under the name uncultured bacterium. Its description in RNAcentral is "partial 16S ribosomal RNA". It matches the Rfam family "Bacterial small subunit ribosomal RNA", at positions 509 to 808 of the family's 1533-position model. The record is from RNAcentral.